UCAUUUGAAUGUGACUAUGGAGCAACAAA
RNAcentral lists this non-coding RNA (29 nucleotides) under Mus musculus (house mouse). Lineage: Eukaryota; Metazoa; Chordata; Mammalia; Rodentia; Muridae. The record is from RNAcentral.